This 465-nucleotide ribosomal RNA is filed under the name uncultured bacterium. Its description in RNAcentral is "partial 16S ribosomal RNA". It matches the Rfam family "Bacterial small subunit ribosomal RNA", at positions 339 to 795 of the family's 1533-position model. The record is from RNAcentral.
CUACGGGGUGCUGCAGUGGGGAAUAUUGGACAAUGGGGGAAACCCUGAUCCAGCAAUGCCGCGUGUGUGAAGAAGGCCUGCGGGUUGUAAAGCACUUUCGGUUGGGAGGACUGCUUCUAGCACUAAUAUUGUUGGAAGUUGACGUUACCUUCAGAAGAAGCACCGGCUAACUCCGUGCCAGCAGCCGCGGUAAUACGGAGGGUGCAUGCGUUAAUCUGAAUUACUGGGCGUAAAGCGCGCGUAGGCGGCUAGAUCAGUCGGGUGUGAAAGCCCCGGGCUUAACCUGGGAACUGCAUCCGAUACUGUCUAGCUUGAGUACAGGAGAGGAGAGUGGAAUUCCACAUGUAGCGGUGAAAUGCGUAGAUAUGUGGAGGAACACCAAUGGCGAAGGCAGCUCUCUGGCCUGAUACUGACGCUGAGGUGCGAAAGCGUGGGGAGCAAACAGGAUUAGAUACCCCGGUAGUC